Molecule: long non-coding RNA, 281 nt
Filed under: Malus domestica (apple)
Lineage: Eukaryota; Viridiplantae; Streptophyta; Magnoliopsida; Rosales; Rosaceae
Description: long non-coding RNA (MDOM_LNC005854)
Source: RNAcentral
GCGUCAAUAUCAGUGUAUGGAUCUACAUCAAAGCCGAGGACUCGAGCCUCACUUAUAUGCUAGAACCUAGCUUUCAAACCCAGGUUUGAAAUUUUUUGGAUGAUUUGUUCAACAUUUGGGCAUGCCAAAAUGAGGUCAAUAGUAUAUUGGCAUGUUUUCGACAAACCAUAUAAGUCAUUACCUGAAUGCUUUUUAUGAAACCCCCACAUGUACUCCAAAGCAUCCCCGAGGAAAGGUGGAUGUAGAUUUUGUCUGACUUUGAUCAACGGUUCCUUUAUGGG